UGGGGAAUAUUGCACAAUGGGCGAAAGCCUGAUGCAGCAACGCCGCGUGCGGGAUGACGGCCUUCGGGUUGUAAACCGCUUUCAGCAGGGACGAAGGGUUUCUGACGGUACCUGCAGAAGAAGCACCGGCUAACUACGUGCCAGCAGCCGCGGUGAUACGUAGGGUGCGAGCGUUGUCCGGAAUUAUUGGGCGUAAAGAGCUCGUAGGUGGUUUGUUGCGUCGGAAGUGAAAACUCAGGGCUUAACCCUGAGCCUGCUUUCGAUACGGGCAGACUAGAGGAAGGUAGGGGAGAACGGAAUUCCUGGUGGAGCGGUGGAAUGCGCAGAUAUCAGGAGGAACACCGGUGGCGAAGGCGGUUCUCUGGACCUUUCCUGACGCUGAGGAGCGAAAGCGUGGGGAGCAAACAGGCUUAGAUACCCUGGUAGUCCACGCCGUAAACGGUGGGCACUAGGUGUGGGGGACAUUCCACGUUCUCCGUGCCGUAGCUAACGCAUUAAGUG
This 501-nucleotide ribosomal RNA is filed under the name uncultured bacterium. RNAcentral's name for it is "partial 16S ribosomal RNA". It matches the Rfam family "Bacterial small subunit ribosomal RNA", at positions 355 to 866 of the family's 1533-position model. The record is from RNAcentral.